This 253-nucleotide ribosomal RNA is filed under the name uncultured bacterium. RNAcentral's name for it is "partial 16S ribosomal RNA". It matches the Rfam family "Bacterial small subunit ribosomal RNA", at positions 524 to 776 of the family's 1533-position model. The record is from RNAcentral.
UACGUAGGGGGCAAGCGUUGUCCGGAUUUAUUGGGCGUAAAGAGCGUGUAGGCGGCCAGGUAGGUCGGUUGUGAAAACUGGAGGCUCAACCUUCAGAGGUCGACCGAAACCAUCUGGCUAGAGUCCGGGAGAGGAGAGUGGAAUUCCUGGUGUAGCGGCGAAAUGCGCAGAUAUCAGGAAGAACACCCGUGGCGAAAGCGGCUCUCUGGAACGGUACUGACGCCGAGACGCGAAAGCGUGGGGAGCGAACAGG